Molecule: transfer RNA, 75 nt
Filed under: Phocaeicola vulgatus
Lineage: Bacteria; Pseudomonadati; Bacteroidota; Bacteroidia; Bacteroidales; Bacteroidaceae
Also listed under: 15 other names
Description: Bacteroides vulgatus tRNA-Cys
Rfam family: tRNA
About the family: Transfer RNA (tRNA) molecules are approximately 80 nucleotides in length.
Source: RNAcentral
GGCGGGGUAGCCAAGUGGUAAGGCGACGGUCUGCAAAAUCGUUAUUCGCGGGUUCGAUUCCCGCUCCCGCCUCCA